Molecule: long non-coding RNA, 413 nt
Organism: Suricata suricatta (meerkat)
Lineage: Eukaryota; Metazoa; Chordata; Mammalia; Carnivora; Herpestidae
Exons: 2
Source: RefSeq, a predicted model, not a curated record
CAUGGCAUGUUAAGGAAAGAUUUGGGACUAUAGGCAAGCGCAUACAUUUUAAAUGACAAAGUACUUUGAAAUGCCGGUGUUCAAUUUCAAUAGCUCAAGGGAGAAAACAAAGCAGGUACCUGCUCAAUUUUCCAUGGGAUGAUACUAAGAAGCAAGAAAUUAUUAGGACUGAGAAAAAGCAACAACUUUUCAGAACUUACUACCACUGUGACAUAGUAGGAAGUCUACUUGAUGGGGAGCCAGGAAAUCCAGAUACCCAUUUCAACUCUGCUAAAUCACAAUGGCCACGCCAGGCCUCAUCCAUGUUUUAAAAUCCUUCUCUUACAUUACUUCCUUCAUGUAGCUUUUCCCAAGUCAUACUGUCGCUGCCUCUCCCACGUUUGCACCUAAUAAAACUUUCAGCGGGUCUCUUA